AUAGGUGGGAGGCUUUGAAGUGUGGACGCCAGUCUGCAUGGAGCCAUCCUUGAAAUACCACCCUUUAAUGGCUGGUGUUCUAACGUGGACCCGUAAUCCGGGUUGCGGACAGUGUCUGGUGGGUAGUUUGACUGGGGCGGUCUCCUCCUAAAGAGUAACGGAGGAGCACGAAGGUUAGCUAAUCCUGGUCGGACAUCAGGAGGUUAGUGCAAAGGCAUAAGCUAGCUUGACUGCGAGAGUGACGGCUCGAGCAGGUGCGAAAGCAGGUCUUAGUGAUCCGGUGGUUCUGAAUGGAAGGGCCAUCGCUCAACGGAUAAAAGGUACUCCGGGGAUAACAGGCUGAUACCGCCCAAGAGUUCAUAUCGACGGCGGUGUUUGGCACCUCGAUGUCGGCUCAUCACAUCCUGGGGCUGAAGUAGGUCCCAAGGGUAUGGCUGUUCGCCAUUUAAAGUGGUACGCGAGCUGGGUUUAGAACGUCGUGAGACAGUUCGGUCCCUAUCUGCCGUGGGCGCUGGAGAAUUGAGGGGGGCUGCUCCUAGUACGAGAGGACCGGAGUGGACGCAUCACUGGUGUUCGGGUUGUCAUGCCAAUGGCAUUGCCCGGUAGCUAAAUGCGGAAGAGAUAAGUGCUGAAAGCAUCUAAGCACGAAACUUGCCCCG
RNAcentral lists this ribosomal RNA (659 nucleotides) under Citrobacter freundii. RNAcentral describes it as "partial 23S ribosomal RNA". It matches the Rfam family "Bacterial large subunit ribosomal RNA", at positions 2143 to 2801 of the family's 2925-position model. The record is from RNAcentral. Lineage: Bacteria; Pseudomonadati; Pseudomonadota; Gammaproteobacteria; Enterobacterales; Enterobacteriaceae.